This 424-nucleotide ribosomal RNA is filed under the name uncultured prokaryote. RNAcentral's name for it is "bacterial SSU rRNA". It matches the Rfam family "Bacterial small subunit ribosomal RNA", at positions 355 to 776 of the family's 1533-position model. The record is from RNAcentral. RNAcentral also lists the same sequence under 1 other name.
UAAGGAAUAUUGGUCAAUGGGCGCAAGCCUGAACCAGCCAUGCCGCGUGCAGGAAGACGGCCCUAUGGGUUGUAAACUGCUUUUGUCAGGGAAUAAACCCCCGCUCGUGAGCGGGGCUGAAGGUACCUGAAGAAUAAGCAUCGGCUAACUCCGUGCCAGCAGCCGCGGUAAUACGGAGGAUGCAAGCGUUAUCCGGAUUCAUUGGGUUUAAAGGGUGCGCAGGCGGAUUGGUAAGUCAGGGGUGAAAUCCCACAGCUCAACUGUGGAACUGCCUUUGAUACUGUCAGUCUAGAGUAUAGUUGAAGUGGGCGGAAUGUGUCAUGUAGCGGUGAAAUGCUUAGAUAUGACACAGAACACCGAUCGCGAAGGCAGCUCGCUAAGCUAUAACUGACGCUCAUGCACGAAAGCGUGGGGAUCAAACAGG